Molecule: long non-coding RNA, 2792 nt
Filed under: Homo sapiens (human)
Lineage: Eukaryota; Metazoa; Chordata; Mammalia; Primates; Hominidae
Description: HSALNT0075709
Source: RNAcentral
ACUCAUAGUUUCCUUUCUAGUAGAGGAAAAGAUGUUAUUAACAAGUAAGUAAAUAUACAUGCAGACAUAUAAAUGCAUAUAUAUGUAUAUAAAAAUAUAUAUACAUACAAAUGUCACGUGGUAAUAUGUGCUAUGAAUGCAAUUUAGGAGAGGAAAUGAGAUUGAUUAGGAAUACCUGUAAGGUGAGAAGGUAAGGAAGAUUGCUGGAAUUUUAAAAGAGUAGUUAGGGGAAACCUAGCUGAGAAGAUGACACUGGAAAUAAGACAUGUAAGAAGCAAGGAGGGAAGCCACAUGGAUACCUUGGAAAUAGCCUACCUGGCAAAGGGAAUUAACAAAUAUGAAGACCUCGUGACAAGAAUGGGUCUGGAAUUUUCAGGGUCCAGAAAGAACCCAUUGUAUCUGAAGUGCAGUGAGUAACAGAAUAGCAAAAAAUAUGGUUAAAAAUGAGGCAAGAUUGUGUAGUGCCAUGUUAAAGACUUUGACUUAUACUCAGUGUGAGAAAGGAAAUCUUUGGAGGGUCUGAUUAGAAGAAGACAUAAUCUGAUGUAUAUUAUGAAAGGACAGCCUUGGCUACUGUGUUAAGAAUAGACUAUAGAAGGUUAAGGGGAAAAGAGGGAGACCAGCUUGGGGAAGCUAAUUCUGUAAUCCAAGUGAAAAAAGAUAGUGGAAAUAGGAUGUUAGCAGUGGAAGUUUUAGAAAACAAAAAGAGGUUGAGUUCUGCAUAUAAUUUGAAAAAGAGGCAACAGGAUUUGUAGACAAAUCAGGAUUUACGUAUGUAAAGAAGAGAAUAAUUGAUAAUGACUUUAGGUUUUUGACACGGAUAACUAUAAAAACGCAGUUGCCAUCUACUGAGAUGGGGAAGACUAAAUUUUGUUUAUGGACAUACACAAUUUAAGCUGCUUCUAACACACCCAAGUGAAGAUAUCAAGUAUACAACUGAAUAUAUGGACUUAGAGUCAAAGGUACAUUUAUAAACUGGAGAUACAGAUGGUAUUUAAAAAUAAUGAGCCUAGAUGAGAUUAUUACAGAAGUGAUUGUGGAUAUAUACAAGAGAGGAAGGUCAAAGUCAGACCUGGGGCUCACCUACAACAGUUGUACUUUCACCCUCCCUAUAAUCAUUACAUGGUUACUGCCCAUCUGCCCUAUUGAACAAAGUAGAGAAUAAGUGGAAACCCAAGGAUAAGUUCUGCAAGUGAAUUAUUUCAGUUCCUCCUUUUCCUGGUAACCCAUAUUCCUUUAACUAUUAGUUACCCAAAUCUUUACCCUUUGUCCACAGGUGGUAAACUAUUCAUCCCCCUCAAUUUAUCCCCUCUCCACUGCAUGUAAAAGCGUGUAGUUGUUUAUUUAUGUUUAUCCAUACACAACAUUCUGAUGCAAUAUUUACACUGUACAUGACAAUAUUUUUCUCCUAACGCAUAUAUAAAUACAUGAGUUAAAAGUUUGAUGCUGACCGUAAUUUGUGUAUUUAAAAAAUUAAGCACAAUUCUACUAACAUUUGUAUAACACAAUCUACCUGUCCUUAUAUUCUUUGUUGGUAAUUCCAUUAAAGGAGAUGAGAUUAUUAUUGCUAUUUAACAUCUCCGGGCACUGAAAUGUUUGAACAGAAAAGUGAGUAGAUGUUAAAAACUACAAAUUGAGAAUUGAGAUUAAUUUGGGUGUACUCCCAAUCACAAGAAAGGGAUAAUAUGAUUUUCAGUUUUGCCUAAACUUUCCUUUACAAGGGAAGAAGUUGGUUCAUGACUAUUGAAAUAUUCGAAUGCAGUGUUUUCACUAAUUACUGUUCUUGUUCUUUACAGAGUUCUAGACUUUACAGAGUUUAUUGUAAACAUUUUCACUAAUAGCCAAAAUGCAUUCCAGGGGGAAUGGUUAGUAUAUAAUUAUUUAUUUAUAUUUUAUAUGGAAAGAGAAAGUAUUUUGGAUCAGAAUUUUCUUAGACCUAAGUUUCAUUUUAAAACGUGCUCUCUGACAGAAUCUCUACAUAGCACAAUAUCUCAGUUGAAUCCUUACCAUUCGAGUUCUGAGGACUAAAGAGUGACUAGCUCCAAAUCCCAAAGAACUGAAUAGUAAUUGUUGCAGCCCAUUAAAUUCCCAAGGACCUCAAUAUAUCCGGAACAAGAAAAUAAGCAAUGACUACAACAAAAACAGAAAUGGUUGAUUUCACAACUUGGUAGAAAAUGUUAAGAAUGUUACAAAAAUAUCAAGAAUAAAAAAAUUUGAGUUGUAAAAGGAUUUAGGAAUAAAACUACAAUCCACACUUUCUUUAGGAGCUUGGGCCACAUUGUCACCAUGGAUGGCUACAGAACUUCUGAGGCUUAUCAACAGAUCCCAUAACUAACAAAUACAUAAUUAUCCACAGCAAUAUAUCACUUGUAUAAGUAAGGGUUAAUUUACAAGCUGAACUAUUAAAUGUAAUUCUCACAUUGACAUUAUAACAAAAUUGUGAACCUGAGAAGAUAUAAUAUUUCCCAGUUUAUGAAGUCUGUCAUAGACCAAGUUCUUAAAUAGCUAAUUUAAAGGAAGCUGGCACACAAUUUAAAGAUGUAAUUUGAGUCAUAGUUGAUGAUAUACUUUUACUUGUUUAGCCUUUUAUGCAGCUUGUUUGCAUUCCUUGAACAGAUUUGCUGUUUCUAUUCUAACUGCAUUGUGUAUGGCAUGAGAAAUGCUGAUUAAUUCUUGUGGGUAAUCAUCACACACGCUGCCAAUGUUGUACAUUUAUAUCUUUCAUUUCAUAAUCUAUGUAUACAUUCCUUAUGUUAUUAGCGGAAGUGGCAUAUAAUAGGUAAAUAAACCUG